This 262-nucleotide ribosomal RNA is filed under the name uncultured archaeon. RNAcentral's name for it is "partial 16S ribosomal RNA". It matches the Rfam family "Archaeal small subunit ribosomal RNA", at positions 748 to 1008 of the family's 1478-position model. The record is from RNAcentral.
CAGCCGUAAACUAUGCGCGUUAGGUGUACUGGUGACCACGAGUCACCGGGGUGCCGAAGGGAAACCGUGAAACGUGCCGCCUGGGAAGUACGGUCGCAAGGCUGAAACUUAAAGGAAUUGGCGGGGGGAGCACCACAACGCGUGGAGCCUGCGGUUUAAUUGGACUCAACGCCGGGAAGCUCACCGGAUAGGACAGCAGAAUGAUUGCCGGGCUGAAGACCCUGCAUGACUAGCUGAGAGGAGGUGCAUGGCGUCAGUGACU